This is an RNA transcript of Rosa chinensis, 1305 nucleotides long. It is a transcript of the gene named protein FMP32, mitochondrial, with no coding region annotated. The record is from RefSeq and is a predicted model, not a curated record. NCBI's taxonomy places the organism in Eukaryota, Viridiplantae, Streptophyta, Magnoliopsida, Rosales, Rosaceae. The transcript has 9 exons.
CAAAAUCUAAUUUUGCUUUCUUAAACGUGGGGUAAUGGAGUCCCUCUUUGACCAAAACCAAUGAUUCAAUGAAAUCAAAAUCCCCUGGAGUCACCAUUACCGUGCAAUUGCAAUGAGUUUCACAACCUGCUAAAUCAAGAAAGCCUUCUCAUCAGAAAAUAGAAAACUAGUCAUAACAAAGCAGGAACCAAAAGCCAGACCAACCGGCCAAGCCAAACCCAAGUUGCCAACCUCAUUUCAAACACAGCCUGACGCAUCAAACAAGGUCGACGAAGCAACCCAACAUUUUCGCAAUUCCCGAGGAGGAUAAGUAGCUCAAGAACCAAUACAAUCUCGUUUUCAUUUCCCAGCUGAAGCCCAAAUCACUGCGUUUUUCCGGAACAUUUGGAGUCAGCGGCGGAAACCAAGUUGAAAUCGGAAUGGCCGCUGCUGCGGCGUGUAAACGGGUCGCCCAAUCCGGGUUCGGAGCUCUCGGCGGGUCCAAACUGAUUUCUCCGAGUUUGCCGCACAGGCAUUUGGAUUGCAGGCUCAUUUCCUCCGAGCUUGUCAAAUCUACUAAUGGAAAGCGCCUUUUUCUUGUUGACACAUUAGCUUUGGUUAGGAGAUUAGAGGGGCAAGGGGUGCCCUCGAAGCACGCCGAGGCCAUAACAGCUGCCAUCACUGAAGUUUUGAAUGACAGCUUGGAGAAUGUGUCUCAGUCGUUUGUUUCCAAGGCAGAGCAGCAGAAAAAUGAGAUGAUCCAAGACUCGAACUUGUCCAAAUUCAAAUCCGAAGUUCAAAGUUCUCAGGGACACCACUUUUCUUUGUUGCAACACGAGACUGAAAAACUUCGGAAUGAUAUAGAGAAGAUGCGCAAUGAAUUGAGGUAUGAAAUCGACAAAGUUACUGCAGGGCAAAGGUUGGACUUGAAUCUUGAAAGGGGGAGGAUACGGGAAGAGCUAGCAAAUCAGAAUGCUGAAACCAAUAACCUUACUAACAAACUUGAUCGGGAAAUUCAUGCUUUGCGUGCACAAGUGGAAGCCGCAAAAUAUGAUGUCAUAAAAUACUGCAUAGGUACACUUGUCUCCAUUUCUGCUGUUGGUCUCGCUGUACUACGUAUCUUGAUGUAAACUUUUUCCAUAGUUACUGGUGACAAACGCAAUAGGGGAAACUAUGGAAAGGUUCAUUCUUUUCAGUAACCUUUUCUAGCAAUCAAGCUGUUGUUGUAUUUUUAAGAAAUAUGCUAAAGACAUGAAUGAUAAUGCAAGUAAAUCAUCGUCAAUGGGGCUUAAGGAAGAGUUUUCAGUUACCUUAAGCCCAUACUCA